CUUCCUGAACUAAUUGCAAGUUAUGGGGAACUUCGGGUAUAUAACGUAAAUAAUUACAGUCUAAUAAUUGUUCCUCAGAAUGCAAAGCCUUUCAAGUUCAGAAACUUUAGAGAAUGCCCUGUUUGUUAACCAUGUUUCUUUUGGCAGGAGGGGGUCCGCAUGGAAGAAAUAGUUGAAGGUUGUACCGGAGCCCUUCACAUCCUAGCUCGGGAUGUUCACAACCGAAUUGUUAUCAGAGGACUAAAUACCAUUCCAUUGUUUGUGCAGCUGCUUUAUUCUCCCAUUGAAAACAUCCAAAGAGUAGCUGCAGGGGUCCUCUGUGAACUUGCUCAGGACAAGGAAGCUGCAGAAGCUAUUGAAGCUGAGGGAGCCACAGCUCCUCUGACAGAGUUACUUCACUCUAGGAAUGAAGGUGUGGGUAAGUAAAAAGGAACCAAAGCGUUUAGCAGAUGUGUACAUUGAAGUCUCAGUUUUUCCUCAAGGGCCUUUUUUUCCUUGUCUCUUAGCGACAUAUGCAGCUGCUGUUUUGUUCCGAAUGUCUGAGGACAAGCCACAAGAUUACAAGAAACGGCUUUCAGUUGAGCUGACCAGCUCUCUCUUCAGAACAGAGCCCAUGGCUUGGAAUGAGGUAGGGAAAUGUGAGCAGUUAUUUAUCUGGUAGUUUCCUAGAGCAGGUAAGGCAGCUUGUUCUUUCCUCUCAAAACACUUAGUACACAUUCAUUUGCAUUGAUGUUUCCCUGGCUUGAGUAUUUCUUCUUUAUGCUGUCCAGCAACUGCUCUGAGGAAGAACUAUAAUACAAGCUUUAAAGAGCCUGUUCAGAAUCAUUACAAAUAAGUUGUGUUAUUUAAAAUUAUAAUUCAUAAGGGAGAAAAAUGAAAAAUGUUACCAGAUUAAAGAAGAUUUUUCAAAAGGAUGUAAGGAAAGAGGCAGUUAAACACUGUUAGAAGACAGUUUAUCAGUAUUUUUUACUAAACUUUAAUAAAACUUUUCUAUUUGAAUUCAGUAUUUGUCCUCAGUACAGGUGUUCCUUGAAACAUUGUUUCUAAUAAAACUAGAACCAUCCUGAUAUUUUAUCCACUCUAUAGAGAUCAUUGAUGGUACACAGUCAUACAGUGGAUUAUAUUUGUUGAGUGAAUGGAAAGAGAGAUUGUUAGGUUUAAACCGAUGCAGCUCUUGAGGCCAGGAGUUUAAGACCAGCCUGGGCAACAUAGUGAAACCCCAUCUUUAGCUGGGCAUGGAGAUGGAUGCCUAUAGUCCUAGCUACUGGGGAGACUGGGGCAGGAGGAUUGCUUGAACCCAGGAGUUAACAGACUGCACUCAGUGACAGAGCCAGACUCCAACUCAAAAAAAAAAAAAAAAAAAAAAAGCAGA
This 1372-nucleotide small RNA is filed under the name Pongo abelii (Sumatran orangutan). RNAcentral's name for it is "retained intron". The record is from RNAcentral. Lineage: Eukaryota; Metazoa; Chordata; Mammalia; Primates; Hominidae.